Molecule: ribosomal RNA, 25 nt
Filed under: Calamagrostis epigejos
Lineage: Eukaryota; Viridiplantae; Streptophyta; Magnoliopsida; Poales; Poaceae
Description: Calamagrostis epigeios partial 18S ribosomal RNA
Source: RNAcentral
GAACCCUUGCGGAAAGGACUCAUUG